This is a long non-coding RNA of Xyrauchen texanus (razorback sucker), 383 nucleotides long. RefSeq lists it as uncharacterized. Lineage: Eukaryota; Metazoa; Chordata; Actinopteri; Cypriniformes; Catostomidae. The transcript is spliced from 3 exons. The record is from RefSeq and is a predicted model, not a curated record.
GUGAGUGUUUGCUUGGCUAGGUCGGGUCUUUACAGCUGGGCUGAAUGCCAACAAAAAAAUUCAUACAGGUUUGGGACAACAUUUGGGGACGAGCCAUUCGACAUCCCACCCCCACUACCUGUUUCAGUAGGAAAUACAUCAAAACAACAAAUAGAACUUCGCUUGUCAAGGCAUGUCAUUGUGUCUUUAAGGGGAAUCAUUUGGAGUCUUCAUCUCAUUGUGCUAACCUGGCAACCUCCACCACCCCACCACCACCAGUUGAGUCCCGUCCUACAUGGGGGUAGGCUCCCUCCCCUGCCUCCUAUCUACGGCAGGAUCUGAUGGUUCAGAGAACAACUUCUUCGGACCGCCAGAUGGGGCUUACGCCAAAGAGAGACAUUACG